This 74-nucleotide non-coding RNA is filed under the name unclassified sequences. Its description in RNAcentral is "RT-6 RNA". It matches the Rfam family "RT-6 RNA". From Rfam's summary of the family: Firmicutes. Nearby to self-splicing intron genes The record is from Rfam by way of RNAcentral.
UGACCUAUACAAAAGGGUAUAGGUGUUGGAGAUUGUUGUCAAGAACUUUGCAAAGAUUUCUUUCGAUAUGUCUU